UUCUGUUUCUAUCCGCGUCGCGUUGUGUACCGCACGUGUGUUAACGUCGCGUCGCUGCGCCACUUAGCGUCCCGACGCCGCCGUUUUCUCUCGACGCUUGCCGGCACGCGCGCACACGCUGCUACCUACAGCACCCUUUGGUACCAGUGAUUUGCUUUGUUUUAACGACAACCAUACGCAAAAUCCAUGCUGUUGUACGCACAGAGAUGAUACGAGCCACUAAAUCGUUGCAAGGUUUAUAUACGUGGCUUGACACGUGCGUUUUCUGUGUCAGUGUAUUUGUUAUUAUUCUACCCAAAAUAUAACAUUAAAUGAAAAGAAAGGGAGGGUAGACAUAGAAUUUGACAAUUCACCACACACCCAAAUUAUGAGGAUAAAUACAAAUUCAUCCAGAUACCUUGGACGAGUCGCUUUCGGUGGCGAGACAAUCUGCCAAGGACGGUGAUCGGAACAGUCGCAAAGUGGCCGGAAUAUAGCAGAGACAUUAAAGCCGAUUUUACAAGGGGCACGAUGUUCCGUCCGAGCAACAGCGGUCACGACGAUACUGCAUCGACCCUCGGCUCGGUGGCGGGCCGGGAUAAUUUCUAUUUCGAUCAUUAGAAGACAAAACGUGUCCACGUGUGUUCGACUGAUAGUAUCGGGGCAACAAGCCCAGCAAGGGAACGGAACAGUGUGUUGGCCGUGUAAACGGUAGAUGAGCACAGUGGAGUCCAGGACCUCGAAGCAACGGCUAGUGGACCAGUGGGGCAGGUUUCCUCGGACCUCCAGAGAGGCACGAGAGGCCAACACGGGUGGAUAGAAAGAGAAAGAGAAACGAACGGCGAGAGAACCUAGAAAUGAAGGGAACCAAACCGGGGGAUUCAAGACUUAUUACCAGAUUGCGGAUUUUACGUAUUGAUCGAAGAAGCGAAUGUGCAGAAAAUGGAAACACGGGUGUAUCAAACCUUCUCCUGACCAAUUCAACGGAGCGGCGAACGCACCGGUCUUGCCUACUCGAGCGCUAGAAGGUCUUUAGAUAAAUGAUGUUGCCAAGAGACGAUUUGAUCGACGGCCGUCGAUGAUAUAUUGAGCCCACGGUGAGACGAUGACGUUAAUCAAAAGGGAUCCCGACCACGAAUGCCGAAGAUAGCGGGAGGCCUGAGGUCGUUGGAGAAUUUCAGGAAAAGGACAAUCUGCGAGUCAAAUUCCAUCUCCUUUCAUCAAGCAACCUGGAUAUCUCAUUCCAGGAUCGCGAUGCGUCUGGAAUUCAUCGGGCGCCAGCAUUGUUCCAUUAUUAGAGCGUCGUCGGUAGCGAUCAGCCGGUAAAUCAACGGCGGAGAACGGGUGCGCGCGGUGCGUAACAGAAAUUAAACGACCGAUUCGCAGAUUUAAGAUCCCCGGGAGCGAUUGACGACGCGAUAAUCGGUCACGCAACCGGAGAUCACAAUAGCCUCCGGGUGGCGGGAAUAAAUGAACUGGCUCUGAUACGAGAAAGGGGGUGAAAGGAAGCCGAGCCGGGGCGAGAUAGGAAUAAGCGAACGUGCACUGCGUUGUCGUUCUUUAGCGCGAGAACGCGGA
This is a long non-coding RNA of Ceratina calcarata, 1557 nucleotides long. RefSeq lists it as uncharacterized. The record is from RefSeq and is a predicted model, not a curated record. The transcript has 4 exons. Lineage: Eukaryota; Metazoa; Arthropoda; Insecta; Hymenoptera; Apidae.